Molecule: ribosomal RNA, 478 nt
Filed under: uncultured bacterium
Lineage: Bacteria
Description: partial 16S ribosomal RNA
Rfam family: Bacterial small subunit ribosomal RNA
Source: RNAcentral
GACGAACGCUGGCGGCGUGCUUAACCCAUGCAAGUCGAACGGUAAGGCCCUUCGGGGUACACGAGUGGCGAACGGGUGAGUAACACGUGGGUGAUCUGCCCUGCACUUCGGGAUAAGCCUGGGAAACUGGGUCUAAUACCGGAUAGGACCACUGCCUGCAUGGGUGGUGGUGGAAAGCUUUUGCGGUGUGGGAUGGGCCCGCGGCCUAUCAGCUUGUUGGUGGGGUGAUGGCCUACCAAGGCUACGACGGGUAGCCGGCCUGAGAGGGUGACCGGCCACACUGGGACUGGGAGACGGCCCAGACUCCUACGGGAGGCAGCAGUGGGGAAUAUUGCACAAUGGGCGCAAGCCUGAUGCAGCGACGCCGCGUGAGGGAUGACGGCCUUCGGGUUGUAAACCUCUUUCAGCACCGACGAAGCGCAAGUGACGGUAGGUGCAGAAGAAGGACCGGCCAACUACGUGCCAGCCGCCGCGGUAA